AACAGGAAGGGGAGGGGGGAGAUGGAGAGUCGAGGGACUGUCGCUGGCACUCUGAGUUUAUUUGGAGUGCAUGUGCACGUCUCUCAGCUUGACGUCGACCCUUUUCUCAUCCAUACUCAUUACACCUGUGCACCUUUUGUAGGUCCUCGAAAGAGGAUCUAUGUCUUUAUCACAUCACACCCGUCGUAUGUCUAGAAUGUCAACAUCAUGUAUCGUAGACCGUCGGAAGGCGGUUCGGUCGAUAUAUGAUCAUAAAUUACAACUUUCAGCAAUGGAUCUCUUGGUUCUCGCAUCGAUGAAGAACGCAGCGAAUUGCGAUAAGUAAUGUGAAUUGCAGAUUUCCAGUGAAUCAUCGAAUCUUUGAACGCACCUUGCGCUCCUUGGUAUUCCGAGGAGCAUGCCUGUUUGAGUGUCAUUUAAUUAUCAACCAUGUCUCGAUUGAUUUCGGGCGCAUGGCUUGGAUGUGGGGGUUGCUGGCCGUGAAAGCGGUCGGCUCUCCUUAAAUGCAUUAGCAAAAGGGGUGUGCUAUGGUCUUCUGGACGUGCACGGCCUUCGAUGUGAUAAUGAUCGUCGUGGCUGGAGCGUCUGAUAAUAAGGCCAUGCACAGAGAGCCCGUUUUGCUUCUAAUGACAAGAUUCUCUCGUCUUAGUGGUCGGAAGCACUGCUAGCUAUUAGUCUACUAGCCUAUUAGCCUACUAGUCCAAUGGACGAACGGUGAAACAGUGAACGGCGAACGUGGCAAGGCGGAUGGGGAUAAGCUAGACUUGAGAUGAAAUAUAUAU
This 782-nucleotide ribosomal RNA is filed under the name uncultured fungus. RNAcentral's name for it is "eukaryotic LSU rRNA". The stretch from base 261 to 415 matches the Rfam family "5.8S ribosomal RNA". Lineage: Eukaryota; Fungi. The record is from RNAcentral.